This 561-nucleotide ribosomal RNA is filed under the name uncultured bacterium. RNAcentral's name for it is "bacterial SSU rRNA". It matches the Rfam family "Bacterial small subunit ribosomal RNA", at positions 338 to 916 of the family's 1533-position model. The record is from RNAcentral.
CCUACGGGAGGCAGCAGUGGGGAAUAUUGGACAAUGGGCGAAAGCCUGAUCCAGCAAUGCCGCGUGAGUGAUGAAGGCCUUCGGGUCGUAAAGCUCUUUUACCAGGGAUGAUAAUGACAGUACCUGGAGAAUAAGCUCCGGCUAACUCCGUGCCAGCAGCCGCGGUAAUACGGAGGGAGCUAGCGUUGUUCGGAAUUACUGGGCGUAAAGAGUACGUAGGCGGUUAUUCAAGUCAGAGGUGAAAGCCCGGGGCUCAACCCCGGAACUGCCUUUGAAACUAGAUAGCUAGAGUCUUGGAGAGGUUAGUGGAAUUCCGAGUGUAGAGGUGAAAUUCGUAGAUAUUCGGAAGAACACCAGUGGCGAAGGCGACUAACUGGACAAGUACUGACGCUGAGGUACGAAAGCGUGGGGAGCAAACAGGAUUAGAUACCCUGGUAGUCCACGCCGUAAACGAUGAUAACUAGUUGUUCGGUCACUUGGUGACUGAGUGACGCAGCUAACGCAUUAAGUUAUCCGCCUGGGGAGUACGGUCGCAAGAUUAAAACUCAAAGGAAUUGACGG